UAAUCGGUUUUAAAGGUAGCAGAAAGCAGACAUUGGCAAAGUUGUUUUGACUUGACGUAGCUUUCACAUUGUGGUUUUUUUUCCACAUGAGAAAAU
Pipistrellus kuhlii (Kuhl's pipistrelle) is the source of this 96-nucleotide long non-coding RNA. RefSeq lists it as uncharacterized. The record is from RefSeq and is a predicted model, not a curated record. The transcript has 3 exons. NCBI's taxonomy places the organism in Eukaryota, Metazoa, Chordata, Mammalia, Chiroptera, Vespertilionidae.